UGAGGAAUAUUGGGCAAUGCCCGCAAGGGUGACCCAGCAACGCCGCGUGGAGGAUGAAUGUCGUAAGAUUGUAAACUCCUGUUAGAGGGGAAGAAUAGUACCGGUUGGACCGGUAUAUGACUGUACCCUCAGAGAAAGCCCCGGCUAACUACGUGCCAGCAGCCGCGGUAAUACGUAGGGGGCAAGCGUUGUCCGGAUUUACUGGGUUUAAAGGGUGCGUAGGUGGGCUUAUAAGUCAGUGGUGAAAUCUCCGAGCUUAACUUGGAAACUGCCGUUGAUGCUAUAGGUCUUGAAUUAUCUGGAGGUAAGCGGAAUAUGUCAUGUAGCGGUGAAAUGCUUAGAUAUGACAUAGAACACCAAUUGCGAAGGCAGCUUACUACAUAUAAAUUGACGCUGAGGCACGAAAGCGUGGGGAUCAAACA
This 422-nucleotide ribosomal RNA is filed under the name uncultured bacterium. Its description in RNAcentral is "bacterial SSU rRNA". It matches the Rfam family "Bacterial small subunit ribosomal RNA", at positions 355 to 774 of the family's 1533-position model. The record is from RNAcentral.